CUUGAGAUCUUGAUUUUGAUAUAAGGGUUAGUGUUUGCUAACCUUUGUGAUUUCCGACUGCGUCAAGUGGUAUCAGAGCAAGGUUUUCUCCUUCUCUUUUCGAAGCUUGAUCAGCCAUGGGUGAUCAACCAGUAACCAAAGCCGACUUCGAGGGUUUCGCAGAAGGUUUAAGGGAGGCAACCACAAACCUCAUUGCCGUAACUGCUCAAUUGGCAAAUCUGGUAACUGGGUUAAAUAAUCAGGUUGUGGCUUAUCCCAAUCAGGUUAAUAACGCCGGUCAAAGAGGUGGAGAAA
This 294-nucleotide long non-coding RNA is filed under the name Brassica napus (rape). RNAcentral describes it as "long non-coding RNA (BNAP_LNC010840)". Lineage: Eukaryota; Viridiplantae; Streptophyta; Magnoliopsida; Brassicales; Brassicaceae. The record is from RNAcentral.